Molecule: ribosomal RNA, 662 nt
Filed under: Escherichia coli
Lineage: Bacteria; Pseudomonadati; Pseudomonadota; Gammaproteobacteria; Enterobacterales; Enterobacteriaceae
Description: partial 23S ribosomal RNA
Rfam family: Bacterial large subunit ribosomal RNA
Source: RNAcentral
UGUAGGAUAGGUGGGAGGCUUUGAAGUGUGGACGCCAGUCUGCAUGGAGCCGACCUUGAAAUACCACCCUUUAAUGUUUGAUGUUCUAACGUGGACCCGUGAUCCGGGUUGCGGACAGUGUCUGGUGGGUAGUUUGACUGGGGCGGUCUCCUCCUAAAGAGUAACGGAGGAGCACGAAGGUUGGCUAAUCCUGGUCGGACAUCAGGAGGUUAGUGCAAUGGCAUAAGCCAGCUUGACUGCGAGCGUGACGGCGCGAGCAGGUGCGAAAGCAGGUCAUAGUGAUCCGGUGGUUCUGAAUGGAAGGGCCAUCGCUCAACGGAUAAAAGGUACUCCGGGGAUAACAGGCUGAUACCGCCCAAGAGUUCAUAUCGACGGCGGUGUUUGGCACCUCGAUGUCGGCUCAUCACAUCCUGGGGCUGAAGUAGGUCCCAAGGGUAUGGCUGUUCGCCAUUUAAAGUGGUACGCGAGCUGGGUUUAGAACGUCGUGAGACAGUUCGGUCCCUAUCUGCCGUGGGCGCUGGAGAACUGAGGGGGGCUGCUCCUAGUACGAGAGGACCGGAGUGGACGCAUCACUGGUGUUCGGGUUGUCAUGCCAAUGGCACUGCCCGGUAGCUAAAUGCGGAAGAGAUAAGUGCUGAAAGCAUCUAAGCACGAAACUUGCC